Molecule: ribosomal RNA, 482 nt
Filed under: Melarhaphe neritoides
Lineage: Eukaryota; Metazoa; Mollusca; Gastropoda; Littorinimorpha; Littorinidae
Description: partial 16S ribosomal RNA
Rfam family: Bacterial large subunit ribosomal RNA
Source: RNAcentral
CGCUCCUUGAUUUUAAUUAAUAGGGAGUCGGACCUGCCCAGUGAUAAGUAUUUAACGGCCGCGGUACUCUGACCGUGCAAAGGUAGCAUAAUCAUUUGCCCUAUAAUUGAGGGCUAGUAUGAAUGGUUUGACAAGAACAGUACUGUCUCUUUCAAAAUUUCUAGAAUUUAUUCUUUAGGUGAAGAAACCUAAAUAAAAUUAAAAGACAAGAAGACCCUAUCGAGCUUAAACUCUUUUUAUAAAAUAAAAAAAAUUAAUAAUAUUUUUUGUUAUAAAAAAUUUUGGUUGGGGCGACUAAGGAACAAAAAAAGCUUCUUUAUUUAAUAAAGACAAAUGUGUAUUGAUCCAUAAAAUCUUGAUUAAAAGAAUUAGUUACCGUAGGGAUAACAGCAUAAUCUUUUUUAAGAGUUCUUAUCGAAAAAAAGGUUUGUGACCUCGAUGUUGGACUAAAAUUUCCUAAUAGAUGCAGACGUCUUUAAGGG